UAAGCAUACCAACAAUAAACACACCAAACACGAGCAGACAGCAUGAUAAUCACGUCUAGACUUGGCAGCAACAACAAAAAGUGGAGUACCAACAAAACUUCGGUCUGUUUAGGUGCUUGAUAAUAUAUUUUUGGCAUUCAAGUUUUUAAGCAAAUAAACCAAUAAACUACCUCAUGGUUGGCAUGUACAA
Molecule: long non-coding RNA, 190 nt
Organism: Bactrocera dorsalis (oriental fruit fly)
Lineage: Eukaryota; Metazoa; Arthropoda; Insecta; Diptera; Tephritidae
Exons: 2
Source: RefSeq, a predicted model, not a curated record